GCGAAGAACUAAUUAAUCUUUUUGUUAUGUGUCGUACCUUCUAGUGUGAUUGAUGGUGGUGGACUGAGGAAGUAAUAUGUAAAGAUGUACGUUAUUGUCGGUUGGAAUUGGCGUUUAGCGGGAAAAUUAAAUUUAAAUUCAAGUGUAUUUUGGCAUAGUUCCCAAUUAACAACCAUGUAGUGUAUUGUAUUAAAUCAUUUUUAAGAAAAAACUGAAAUUAUUUAUGUCUGUAAUGUCGUUAAGUAACUUAUCUGCAUUUUCUUUUUUAUAUUUAUGUAUAAAAUAUUCUUCGUAGAGAUCCAAUUGUUUAGAUUUGUUUAUGUUUUUAAGUAGAAUUAUUUUGUUUUUGUUGAUUGAAUGUUUAUGUUCUUGUAAAUGUUUAUAUACGUUGGAUGUCUUUUUGGUUUUGUGUUCCUUCAGUCUGGUAUUGAGGUUUCUUCCUGUUUGUCCCACAUAAUUGUCAUCACAAUCUUCGCAUCUGAUCAGAUAAACACCGCUUUUUUGGAGGUCUUCGAAUUUGUGUUUGUUGUUGGUCAAUAAAUCGCUAAUUUUGUUUCCUGAUAGGAACGCCGGGAAUAUAUCAAAUUUAUUUAGAUUUUUAGUAAAUUUAGUUAAAUUAUGAUUGUAUGAGAGGGUUAUAAAUUGUUUGUUAGAUUGAAAGUUAGGGUAAACCAGCUUUCUAAUAUUAUUUUUAUGAAUGCCAUUGAUUAUUGAUUGUAAAGUGGAGAUGUUGUAACCGUUGUUAUGUCCGAUUUUUAAUAUGUUAUUGACUUCUUUUUCAAAGUUUUGUUGUUUUAGUGGUGUAUUGUAAAGCCUGUUGAACAGGAAGUUAAAAGCUGCUUUUUUGUGGGCUGUGCAGUUAUACGAAUCAUUAGGUAUAAUGCAAUCGGUAGUAGUAUUUUUUCUAUAUAUGUCAAAAUUGAUUUUCCCUUCGUCAUAGUUUUUAAUGAGUGUAAGAUCCAAAAAAUUAAUACAAUCGUCGACCUCUCUCUCCAUGGUGAACUCUAUGUUAUUUAUUGAAUUAAUAGUUAUUUAACCAACAAGUCUAUUAAUGAAGGCGAUUAAUUAUCGAGAUAUUUUAACGCGUGAGCGAGCGAAGCGAAGCGAACGCGUUAAUUAUUGAGAUAUUAUUACUAUCUAUAUUACUUCCUCAGUCCACCACCAUCAAUCACACUAGAAGGUACGACACAUAACAAAAAGAUUAAUUAGUUCUUCGCUCAAUAAUUUCAACAUCCUUGCAAACUCAAAACAGAUAUUCAACAUUUCACCAUCAUAUUUGGAUAAUUUUCGGAACUUUAAUAAUAUUUUAUGACCCAAACUACUAUUAGUGGACAUUUUGAGGUUAAGUAAAACGUGAGAAACACACGGAAUAGAUAUAAACCUUCACAUUGACAACUUCAACGAGUUUUUACAAUUUUGACAUUUGAUAAAUAGUAUUGUGGAAAAAGAAUAAAAAUAAUAACAACUCUGCCUCAUACAUUGAAAUUUCGAUAACAUACAAUCAUAAUAAUCAAACGAGAACAUGUUGAAAACAAAACAAACUCCCUCAAGAUUGUCGUAAAACUAAUGACGUCGUGCCUGUCGAAGCCUCUAGAAGGGGCGAAACACGUGUAGCACUUAUUUAAAUGAAUAAAUCAUCGUUUUGGGCCAUUUAAGCCUUUUAUUUCGAUUUAGAUUCUAGGUUAUGUUUAUAUCAAACAUUUAUUUGGUGAUUUAUAAACAUCAAGGUCAUCAGCUGCUAUUAAUUUCUAAUUCACCGUCCAAUAAGAUAAAAGCGUACUCACCACGUGUUCACGCAUGUCUCUUGAGUAGACGGGGGCACGACAGAGACAGAUAUAUAUAUCUGCACUCUAGUGUUUACACUCUUUUGCUGCCUUAGUCAGCGAUAUAGGAGAUAGUAUAUAUAUGCAUUAAAGUAAUAAUAACUUUUCUGACAGUAUAAUUUUUGGUUUUUUGAAUAAAAAUUCUUAUUCUCUGUACUUUUUAAGCAAACGAUACUCUUAUCAAAAUGCACUAAAAUUUAUCGUUUUCAAAAUAAUCCGCUUUUUAUUAUUCGAUACCGACCAAUGGUUUUAGACAGUGAUGUGAAUGUGUAAAUUAUCAAAAUAUUUACCGUAAUUUGCUGUAAAUUACCAAACAAAUUUUUCAUAAAUUACCGCUAGGAGCUAGGAUGUGUCUGCGCAUGCGCUCUCGAUGUUUUGAUAAUGCUGUAAAGCCCCUAUAAGAAACUUAAAAGAGUUGGUUAUAACAGAAACUAUAAGAAGUAUUCUAG
Non-coding RNA from Onthophagus taurus, 2272 nucleotides. Lineage: Eukaryota; Metazoa; Arthropoda; Insecta; Coleoptera; Scarabaeidae. The record is from RefSeq and is a predicted model, not a curated record.